Molecule: long non-coding RNA, 210 nt
Filed under: Elaeis guineensis (African oil palm)
Lineage: Eukaryota; Viridiplantae; Streptophyta; Magnoliopsida; Arecales; Arecaceae
Description: long non-coding RNA (EGUI_LNC039787)
Source: RNAcentral
CCGGGCAUCUUCUUCAGUAAAGAUUAUAGAUUCUUCAGUCCUCUGCCGCUUCGGCGGUCUGACCGAUCCACUGACUGCUCCCCGUCGGGGUCCUCCAGAGAUGGUGUUGAUGAUCCCAAUUGGAGGCCGAUCUUCAGGUUGUUCUUUCCUCCUUGGUGGCUCUGGUUGUGGUAGGGUCCUUGGCCGAUCUUUCCUACCUUCAGACCGACG